GCCCUGGUGAUCUAGUGGUAAAGACUCGGCGCUCUCACCGCCUCGGCCUGGGUUCGUUUCCCAGUCAGGGAA
This 72-nucleotide transfer RNA is filed under the name Equus caballus (horse). It matches the Rfam family "tRNA". Rfam says of the family: Transfer RNA (tRNA) molecules are approximately 80 nucleotides in length. Their secondary structure includes four short double-helical elements and three loops (D, anti-codon, and T loops). Lineage: Eukaryota; Metazoa; Chordata; Mammalia; Perissodactyla; Equidae. The record is from Rfam by way of RNAcentral.